RNAcentral lists this ribosomal RNA (247 nucleotides) under uncultured bacterium. RNAcentral's name for it is "partial 16S ribosomal RNA". It matches the Rfam family "Bacterial small subunit ribosomal RNA", at positions 524 to 764 of the family's 1533-position model. The record is from RNAcentral.
UACGGAGGGUGCGAGCGUUAAUCGGAAUUACUGGGCGUAAAGCGCACGCAGGCGGUUUUGUUAAGCUAGAUGUGAAAGCCCCCGGGCUCAACCUGGGAUGGUCAUUUAGAACUGGCAGACUAGAGUCUUGGAGAGGGGAGUGGAAUUCCAGGUGUAGCGGUGAAAAUGCGUAGAUAUCUGGAGGAACAUCAGUGGCGAAAGGCGACUCCCCUGGCCAAAAGACUGACGCUCAUGUGCGAAAGUGGUG